ACGCGAGCUGGGUUCAGAACGUCGUGAGACCGUUCGGUCCCUAUCCGUCGCAGGCGUAGGAAAUUUGAGAAGACCUGUCCUUAGUACGAGAGGACCGGGAUGGACGUACCUCUGGUGUACCAGUUGUCCUGCCAAGGGCAUGGCUGGGUAGCUAUGUACGGAAUGGAUAAGCGCUGAAAGCAUCUAAGCGCGAAGCCAACUUCAAGAUAAGAUUUCCCACCGCAAGGGUAAGACCCCAGAAAGACUAUCUGGUUG
Molecule: ribosomal RNA, 255 nt
Filed under: Clostridioides difficile
Lineage: Bacteria; Bacillati; Bacillota; Clostridia; Peptostreptococcales; Peptostreptococcaceae
Description: partial 23S ribosomal RNA
Rfam family: Bacterial large subunit ribosomal RNA
Source: RNAcentral